CUGACCAUAGAACAUCACAGAACCUGUCUUUUAGCUCUCUAAUAGUGUUUCAGAGAAUAUUAUCAUCCCGGGCACGGAAUCAAGAAGUGAUAACAUUAAAACGAUCCCUACAACGUAAGUAUCGCUAUAUCGCCUCUCUUUUUCUUUGUAGUUUGAAUUUUGGAAGGUACUUAAUAGUUAAUAAAACGUAUACUUUCUGUAUUUAAGUGUUUAAAUAUCAAGGAAUGUUGAUAAAUUCGUUUUCUAAUAGUUAGAACUCACGGGACGGUGAUCGAAAGCUGUGAGUUCGAGUUAUUUGACUUGUAGUGGACUGUUUUGUGGGCUGUUUCGUGUUGCCUUUGGGCUGUAUAUUUUUCUACUGUUUAAUAGAGUUUUUUAGGACAAAUGGUGUGGAGAAAUACCACAUAACGACGGAAUGGUGGACUGGUCGUUCGUCGUUAUAUUUUUUAAGUUGUUUGCCACUACUUUGGUUGUUGUUUUAUGUAUGAAGUGAUUAGGGUGUGUGUGCUAUUUUGUGACAUAUUGUGAUGGAGAUAAGGUUGUAAAAUGAUGCUUACAUGUUGUUAUUGUUGUGUUCUUGUUGUUGUUGGUAUAUGGUAUUGGAGGAGGGCCUAGUUACAGAGGAGAUGUUGUCCAAAUUUACGUAAACGAGCUACUAGUUUAAGUUGUGGACUUAGCCUUUACUCAGCAUUGAUUUUGAAUCUCCUUAUGAUGUAGUAGAUUGAAUUGAGUUGUUUGAAGAAUUUUUUGGAAGGUAUUAAGGACUCAACGGAGUUAAGGUAUGUUAAGGCUAUCCCUUCUUUCUUUUUUGCAUAAUCCAAAUGAUACAAACGAAACGAGAAAAAUAUGCAACUUUCAUAAAUGACUUUAUUCAUAGAAAU
Molecule: long non-coding RNA, 881 nt
Filed under: Nicotiana tabacum (common tobacco)
Lineage: Eukaryota; Viridiplantae; Streptophyta; Magnoliopsida; Solanales; Solanaceae
Description: long non-coding RNA (NTAB_LNC009166)
Source: RNAcentral